CCAGUUUUCCUGUUUGGGAAUAUGACAGCUUUUGUCAUUCUCAUCAAACCAGGAUGAAUCGCGAUGUAAGAUGCUUCAUUUUGAUACAUAAAGUAGUGGAGAAUCACCAGGAAGCUGAAUAAAUCUCAUAGGAGUUAGGAUGAAGAAGCUAUCCCACUUUCAAAUCAGGUGAUCCCAGUUUUCCUGUUUGGGAAUAUGACAGCUUCUUUGUCAUUCUAAUCAAACCAGGAUGAAUCGCGAUGUAAGAAGCUUGAUUUUGAUACAUAAAGUAGUGGCGAAUCACCAGGAAGCUGAAUAAAUCUCAUAGGAUUUAGGAUGAAGAAGCUUAUCCCACUUUCAAAUCAGGUGAUCCAGUUUUUCCUGUUUG
Long non-coding RNA from Brassica rapa (field mustard), 367 nucleotides. RefSeq lists it as uncharacterized. Lineage: Eukaryota; Viridiplantae; Streptophyta; Magnoliopsida; Brassicales; Brassicaceae. The record is from RefSeq and is a predicted model, not a curated record.